RNAcentral lists this long non-coding RNA (1412 nucleotides) under Ictidomys tridecemlineatus (thirteen-lined ground squirrel). Its description in RNAcentral is "lncRNA (ENSSTOG00000032442.1)". The stretch from base 1215 to 1283 matches the Rfam family "tRNA". Lineage: Eukaryota; Metazoa; Chordata; Mammalia; Rodentia; Sciuridae. The record is from RNAcentral.
GAAUGUUAUACUGGAUUCAAAUUGGGACAACUAAGUCUGAGAUCCACCUCCAUCACUUUGGGCAUAUCACUUCUCUAGACCUCGUUUCCCUUAUUGGUAAAUUGAGAAUUUGAGUGCCUCUUCUAUAUAGGAUUUUCCAACUCUGACACGUCACAAUUCUUCCAGUGCCUCAAGAGAUGAUAGUACUAUACAGGACCUACUGCAUCUUUUUUGCAACUAACUUUGCAAUAACGCUGUUUGGAAAGAAGAUGACCCAAACUGUAUUAAUUAGUAAAUGCCAAAGGCAGCAACUGGAGUCUGUGAGCUACUCCUCUCGCUAUGCUCUGGGCCUCUUUUAUGAAGCUGGCACGAAGAUUGACGUCCCUUGGGCUGGGCAGUACAUCACCAGUAAUCCCUGCAUACGCUUCGUCUCCAUUGAUAAUAAGAAGCGCAAUAUAGAGUCAUCAGAAAUCGGGCCUUCCUUGGUGAUUCACACCACUGUCCCUUUUGGAGUUACAUACUUGGAGCAUAGCAUCGAGGAUGUGCAGGAGUUAAUCUUCCAGCAGUUGGAAAAUAUUUUGCCAGGUUUGCCUCAGCCAGUUGCUACCAAAUGCCUGAAAUGGAGACAUUCACAGGUGCUGAGCAUUGAUACCUUGGUGGCCAAAAAACUACCUGAACACUUAAGACCCAGCGUGCCUUGGGACUGCAGAGAGAUACCUCCCAAGGCAGAUUUAUAGCUGCAAUCAGGAGUUCCAGAGGAUAGAGCUUUAAAGAUAAACUUGGAUACCACUAGAUUAGCUUGGCAUGACAUUCAUAAAUAAUAACUUUACAGUUUACUCUCAGCUGCAUGCAGCGUCUGAGCAAUCUUCCUGGACUGCUGCAUAGUUGACCUAUUUAUUUACUCCCCCGCACGUACCAUGGGCCAUCCUACCAGUGGAAUGAGGCCAUAGACAUAAUAGUAGUUCUUAUAAAUGUAUAGGAAAUCUUGGUGACUGAAUUUUGAGUAUUUGGUCAUUUGGCAAGGGGGAAAGGAAAGGUGGGGGGAGAAGAGGAGGAGGGAAGAGGAGGAGCUGUUUCUGUCCUCCAGCAUGAUUAUACAAAUCAAACAAACUAAAAAAGAGACACACACUGACUAUUCCAUUCUAUUAUCUCUCCAGCAAAGAUCCCCCACGAGAUACUGGAGAGAUUAGAAAAUAUAACCUAAGCCCAAAGAGUUAAAGGACUGUUCAAAGGCUGGGGAUGUGGCUCAAGCGGUAGCGCGCUCGCCUGGCAUGCGUGUGGCCUGGGUUCGAUCCUCAGCACCACAUACCAACAAAGAUGUUGUGUCUGCCGAGAACUAAAAAAUAAAUAUUAAAAAUUCUCUCUCUCUCUCCUCUCUCACUCUUUCUUAAAAAAAAAAAAAAAAAAAAAAAAGGACUGUUCAAGACCAUAAU